RNAcentral lists this unclassified non-coding RNA (764 nucleotides) under Hevea brasiliensis (rubber tree). The record is from RNAcentral. Lineage: Eukaryota; Viridiplantae; Streptophyta; Magnoliopsida; Malpighiales; Euphorbiaceae.
AAUUUGUUCACCAAAAUCAACUGUGACAUUUUCUGCUGGAAUGCCCUUUGCAAAAAUUGUUAAAACCACUUCCUCUGGCUUCUGGUAGUAUUCAUGUCUGUUCAAUUAUCAAUUGUCAACAUCCACACAACUGAAACAGUAUAUUAACAUUCAACAGGGCCAAAAAAUUAAAAAUUGAAUAAACAACAAAAAUUGGCAAGAUUGUCCCUGCUGUCUUUGCAAAGAUGACCAAUAAUCUAAAAUUUAUUUCUAGUAUACAGGCAAAAAAAAUCAAUAAAUUUAAACAUGAAGAGGGUAAAGCAAUUGGAAAUGUAUUCUACAUAGAGGCACAAUUUCUCAGGUUCAACCAAACACCUAAAAGUUUGCUAUGUUAUCCCUGUAUUGGCAUUUUUGCUUGGGUUGAUAAAAGGUCAUUUCCAUCAAAAUCAAUUGCAUUCUAGAUUAAUGGGUUCACGUCGUAAACUAUUUAUUCCAAAAAUAAACCUUUUGGUGAGAUAUUUUUGCCCUUUUUACUUAGACUGUGAAGCCACAGUAUUGAAGAAAAGAUAAGUUGUAUAUGCCCCGCAAGUGUGCCCUUAUCUCACUUUAUACAUGGGUGAAGCUAUUUAUUAUACAUGUACAAAUAGAAAUUGAUGGAUGGUAACAAAAAUGAAAUCAGAAUUGAGACCAACAAAAUCAAGAGGAAUAAAUGAUUUUUUCUAUUUUUUAUUUUCAAAAAAGGAUGAAGCGUGUACAAGGAAAAAGAAAAACAAAACCCAUAGUAC